This 332-nucleotide unclassified non-coding RNA is filed under the name soil metagenome. RNAcentral describes it as "partial contains 5.8S ribosomal RNA, internal transcribed spacer 2, and large subunit ribosomal RNA". The stretch from base 1 to 121 matches the Rfam family "5.8S ribosomal RNA", at positions 35 to 154 of the family's 154-position model. The record is from RNAcentral.
GAUGAAGAACGUAGCGAAAUGCGAUAAGUAAUGCGAAUUGCAGAAUUUCCGUGAGUCAUCGAAUCUUUGAACGCACAUUGCGCCCCCUGGUAUUCCGGGGGGCAUGCCUGUUCGAGCGUCAUUUCACCACUCAAGCCUCGCUUGGUAUUGGGCAACGCGGUCCGCCGCGUGCCUCAAAUCAACCGGCUGGGUCUUCUGUCCCCUAAGCGUUGUGGAAACUAUUCGCUAAAGGGUGCUCGGGAGGCUACGCCGUAAAACAAACCCAUUUCUAAGGUUGACCUCGGAUCAGGUAGGGAUACCCGCUGAACUUAAGCAUAUCAAUAAGCGGAGGA